UACGGAGGGUGCAAGCGUUGUCCGGAUUUAUUGGGUUUAAAGGGUGCGUAGGCGGCCUAAUAAGUCAGUGGUGAAAGCCUCCAGCUUAACUGGAGAACUGCCAUUGAUACUGUUAGGCUUGAGUAUACUUGAGGUAGGCGGAAUUGACAGUGUAGCGGUGAAAUGCUUAGAUACUAUAAAGAACUCCGAUAGCGUAGGCAGCUUACUAAACUGAUACUGACGCUGAGGCACGAAGGCCAGGGGAGCAAACGGG
This 253-nucleotide ribosomal RNA is filed under the name uncultured bacterium. Its description in RNAcentral is "partial 16S ribosomal RNA". It matches the Rfam family "Bacterial small subunit ribosomal RNA", at positions 524 to 776 of the family's 1533-position model. The record is from RNAcentral.